CCUACGGGUGGCUGCAGUGAGGGAUAUUGGUCAAUGGGGGAAACCCUGAACCAGCAACGCCGCGUGAGGGAAGACGGUUUUCGGAUUGUAAACCUCUGUCCUCUGUGAAGAUAAUGACGGUAGCAGAGGAGGAAGCUCCGGCUAACUACGUGCCAGCAGCCGCGGUAAUACGUAGGGAGCAAGCGUUGUCCGGAUUUACUGGGUGUAAAGGGUGCGUAGGCGGCCCUGCAAGGCAGAAGUGAAAUCCAUGGGCUUAACCCGUGAACUGCUUUUGAAACUGUAGGGCUUGAGUGAAGUAGAGGCAGGCGGAAUUCCCGGUGUAGCGGUGAAAUGCGUAGAUAUUAGGAGGAACACCAGUGGCGAAGGCGGCCUACUGGACGGUGACUGACGCUGAGGCUCGAAAGCGUGGGGAGCAAACAGGAUUAGAUACCCUUGUAGUC
Molecule: ribosomal RNA, 440 nt
Filed under: uncultured bacterium
Lineage: Bacteria
Description: partial 16S ribosomal RNA
Rfam family: Bacterial small subunit ribosomal RNA
Source: RNAcentral